Eriocheir sinensis (Chinese mitten crab) is the source of this 2616-nucleotide long non-coding RNA. RefSeq lists it as uncharacterized. The record is from RefSeq and is a predicted model, not a curated record. The transcript is spliced from 2 exons. NCBI's taxonomy places the organism in Eukaryota, Metazoa, Arthropoda, Malacostraca, Decapoda, Varunidae.
CCUUCCCUUCCCUUCCCUUCCCUUCCCUUCCCUUCCCUUCCCUUCCUUCCACUUCCCUGCAUUAUAUUUAUCCUCCCCUUCCAUCUCUUCUCCAACUAUUUAGCUUACUCUUCAUACUUCUAUCUCUAUUUCCUUCUCCCUUCCACUCACUUCCCUUUACUCUGCUUCUCUCUUCAUCUAUUUUUCAUUAACUAAUUUACUAUCCAUCCUUCUAUUUCUUUCCUUCUCUUCUACCCACUUAUCCUCUUCAUUCGUUUUCUAACCAUCUUCUUUACUACAAAUCUUCCUAUCUCUCUUCCCUUAUCUUCCACUCACUUCCUUUUCCCAUAGUUGUCCCUUCCUUCCAUUUAUUUGUGUCUAUCAGAACUCCCAUUCAUCCUCUUAUCUCUUAUCUCUCUCUCCUCUUUCACCCACUUACUUCCCUCUUCUAUACUUAUCCAUUUCUUCUAUUUUUCAUCCAUCUAAAGUUCUCUAUCAAUCCCCUUAACUCUCUUUCCUCCCUUCCACUCACCUUUCUCAUUACUGUCCAUUCUUUCAUCUCAUCCUUUCCCUUUUAUCUAAUCUAUUCUUUCAUCCAUAUAUCUUCCUUUCCUUACCGUCCACUCCACUCUUAAUUCUCCCUUCUAUCCAUCUUCCCAUCCAUUACACUCACUCUCCCACUCACAGCAUCCAUCUCUCCACCACCUCCAUUCCACUCGCCCACCCGCAUCCCACGCCACACCCACCUCCAUCCCCUCUACCCUGACACCUCCGCCCUCAGCAACCCAAAAUUACGUCUAAUCACUGAACGACUUCCUCUGUAUCGGCGUUGUUUAUGCAGCCGCUGCCUCGUUUGUGUGUGACAUGGCCUGGGAAAGGUCGGAAAGGCUGGUGGAAGCUGGUGGAGGAUGGGGAGUGACUGGGGGAAGACAGGGGAGACUGGGAAGGGUUGUAGAUGAAUAGAGAGCAGUUAGGGGGACUGGGGAAGACUGGGGAAUGUUAAAGUAAGCUGGGAAAUAGCUCUGGGGAUUGGUUUGAUUAGGAAAUAUUGUAGGCAGCUGAAUAGAAGUUGGUAAAGGGAUUUGGGGAGACUGAUGAAUGUUGGAGAACGCUGGGGGAGUAGGUAGAGGAAUUGGAGGACACUGGGGAAGGUGGGGAGGACUUCAAAUGGCUGAGAAAACUGCGGUAGCGUUGGGGAAGGUGGGGGGACGUUUGGGGAAGGAUGAGGAUGGUUGGUAUAACGUUGGGGUAGGUUGGGAAAGACUUGGGAGGCUGAAGGACGUUUGGGGAAGCUUGACAGUAUGGAGGACGGUCGAAAAGUGGGUAUGAGGAGAAUGGGGAGUGGGUGGGGAGGAGUGGGGAAGAAUGGUGAAGUGUGUGGUCCAUCUCAAAGGAAGAAAGGGUUAUGGGGGCACAAUGGAACGCCUGUUUGUCUGUCUGUCUGUCGCUCUGUAUCCCUGUCUGUCUGUCUCUGUCUAUCUGUCUGUCUGGCCAAUUCUCCAUCUCUUGUUUUAUGGAAAGGAUGCGGGAGGGAGGGACGGUGAGGGAGAGAAAGGAGAACGAGAUAAAUUAAGAGAGGGAAUAAAUAUGGAGGUCUCGGAGGAAAGGCAAACGAAGGGUGGAAGAAAAAUGUAAAGAAAAGAAGAGAGAAGAGAGAAAUUGAGGUUAUGAAGACGAAAGAAAGGAGAACGAAAUAAAUUUAGAGAAUGCGAAGAAAUAUGGAGGUCACAGAGGAAAGGAAGCGAAGGAUGGAAGAAGAAUGUUAAGAGAAGGAGAAAAGAGAAGGAGAGAGGAAAUGAAGAAGAGAAAAGAAAGAGAAGGAUGAAAUAAGGAUGCUAAGAGAAGAAAAGAGGAGAAGAAAAUGAGGAAAUGAAGAAGAAAAAAGGAAGAGAAGUGUGAAAGAAAAAUUUUAAGAGAAGAAGAAAAGAGAAGGAAAGAGGAAAUGAAGAAGAGAAAAAGGAAGAGAAUGAUGAAGGAAGAAUACUAAGAGAAGAAAAGAGAAGAAAAAUGAGGAAAUGAAGAAGAAAAAAAGGUAUAGAAGGGUAGAAAAAGAUGCUGAGAGAAAAAGUAAAAGAGAUGAAAAAUGAGAAACAUGAGGAAGUGGAGGGAAAGAAAGAAGGAAAUGGAGAACACAGAUAGGAUGGAUUAAAAAUGCCAACGUAAAAAUACAAUAAAAAAAGAGAAACAGGAAAAUGAACGAAAGCUAAGGAGACAUGAAGAGGGGGGGAUAAAAGGAUACGAGAAAAAUAAAAUAGAAAGAGAGGAGAAGGGGUAAGGGAAAUGUAUGAGAAGGAGGGAAGGAAGAAAGAUGGACUGAAGGGAAGGAAAGAAAGGGAAGUGGGAGGGAGAGAAAAAGACUUGGUGCAGAGGAAGGUGAAGAAUUAUGGAUGAUGGGAAGGGGAAGGAAUGAAAGGAAGGGAAAGGGCUUGAAGCUAAAGGAGAGGAAAGGAAUAGUAAGAAAAAAAAAGAGAAAACAGGGCAUAAGAAAAAUGGAGAACGAAAAUGAAAGAAUAAGGAAGGAAGGAUGAUGUGAAAGAGGAUAAAAGGAAAGAAAUAAUAAAAGGUAAUAACAAAAAGAGGGAGAGAGGAACUAAACAGAAAUAGAGAGGAAAGGAAGGGCGAGAGACUGACUAGAAA